Molecule: long non-coding RNA, 661 nt
Organism: Acanthochromis polyacanthus (spiny chromis)
Lineage: Eukaryota; Metazoa; Chordata; Actinopteri; Pomacentridae
Exons: 4
Source: RefSeq, a predicted model, not a curated record
CCGACGUGGUGGAGGGGAAACUACUUUCAAGGAGAGUGGUCAUGGUGCGGUUUACGGAGGCGGAGGCAACUGUGUCCAUCAUCAUACACAAACUAAAGGUUGCCAUGGCAGACGAUGAGGACUACACCCUCACUGACACCGCCGGCAAUGAAAUUGUCGAAUCGGAAGGGACAACAGGAUCAAUGUACUGGAAGCAAAGUGCACGAAAAAUUUUUGCCAUCAAGACUAGCACUUUCCAGCAGUGGCGCAGGCGGCAUUCCAGCCACAGAAAUGAAGACGUCCAGAGGCUGCAGGACCAAGUGGAGGAACUGCUGGAGGCAUCCCAAGGGCUGGGGGAAGUCACACGGAAUAUUGAUACCCUUGUGACCCUCAGCCGCAACCUGUCUCCAGUGUGGCUGGAAUUUAAACAAGCCUUCAUAUGUUUGGUCUGCAGAGCUACCAUGACUCGGCCCAUGUUUACAUCCUGCUGUCGGAGCCUGGUGGGGUGUGUGGAUUGUGUCCGAGAGUGGGAACGAAAUUCUAAUCAGUGCCUCAAGUGCAGGGAAGACCUGCCUACCUACACUGAGGUAGCAGGACUGUCUGCAGCACUAGACUGCCUGAGGUCAACUCAGUAGUUGUGACAAAAUGGGCUAUUGUCACAGCUUCACUACUUUCGGAAAUU